UUCACCCAAAAGAAUAUGUUC
Molecule: non-coding RNA, 21 nt
Filed under: Caenorhabditis elegans
Lineage: Eukaryota; Metazoa; Nematoda; Chromadorea; Rhabditida; Rhabditidae
Source: RNAcentral